UCGACAGCUGGUACGGCACGUUCAUGCCGGCCGACUUGGCCGCGGCCAGCACGCCGGCGGCGAUCUCGUCGUUGCUGCCGAA
Molecule: transfer RNA, 82 nt
Filed under: Xanthomonas boreopolis
Lineage: Bacteria; Pseudomonadati; Pseudomonadota; Gammaproteobacteria; Lysobacterales; Lysobacteraceae
Description: [Pseudomonas] boreopolis tRNA-Pro
Source: RNAcentral